Molecule: long non-coding RNA, 210 nt
Filed under: Mytilus galloprovincialis (Mediterranean mussel)
Lineage: Eukaryota; Metazoa; Mollusca; Bivalvia; Mytilida; Mytilidae
Source: RNAcentral
UGUACGUAUAUUUGUUUGAAUGUUGUUUUAUAAAUAGUUUUACAUGUGGACUUGUUCAUCUAAAACAGUUUAUAAAAAGUUAUUCCUGACAUCAAUGCAACCAAGUUGUAAGCAAGACUUCCGACACCAUUUCCUGCAAAGAUAAUAACAAGUUAUAAAUCUUGAAACAUUCGACAUGUUAUUAAAAAGCAUAAUCGAUGGCUUGUUAAC